GGUUGAGCAUAUGCUUUCAAGGAUUUUUCUUCAGGGGCGGGAAGAA
RNAcentral lists this non-coding RNA (46 nucleotides) under Carnobacterium sp. Its description in RNAcentral is "Na+-I sequence". It matches the Rfam family "Na+ riboswitch aptamer (DUF1646)". Rfam says of the family: Proteobacteria, NC10, Acidobacteria, Verrucomicrobia. Lineage (Clostridia) The riboswitch of Na+ was first reported in a comparative analysis of intergenic regions and called DUF1646 RNA, it was also suggested that it acts as cis-reg RNA present upstream of Na+ genes. Afterward it was reported as a riboswitch that selectively senses Na+. RNAcentral also lists the same sequence under 1 other name. Lineage: Bacteria; Bacillati; Bacillota; Bacilli; Lactobacillales; Carnobacteriaceae. The record is from RNAcentral.